RNAcentral lists this long non-coding RNA (431 nucleotides) under Zostera marina. RNAcentral's name for it is "long non-coding RNA (ZMAR_LNC005476)". Lineage: Eukaryota; Viridiplantae; Streptophyta; Magnoliopsida; Alismatales; Zosteraceae. The record is from RNAcentral.
UCGGCGACUAGGCGUGAUUAGGGGGAUUUGGAGAUCGAAUCUUGAUCUCAAAUUUCGUAAAUUUAGGAUUCUCUGGGGGGUUUUUGCAAUUUUCCCAAGGCCUAUAAAUAGUGAGGAGGUUUUCCCCAAACCCUCACAACACUUCUUUGCCCUUCUCGAUCGCUCAGACCCCCCGAUCCUUGAAUCGCCGAUUCCUUGAUCUUCAAGCUUUAAUUCAGCGAUUCGCAAGAUGUCUCCCACCGAUUCCCCUUUGAGAGAAUCCGAAACGUCAGCUUUUGUUGCUGACUUGAUGGAAGUUGAUAACUUGGACAGGGUGCUGAACGACGUUGAGUCGCCGAUUCCCUCUCCUGACAGGGAGGUUGAGUCGACGAUUCCGUUUGUUCCACCUCAUAAUCUGGAGUUGAGUGCCACCGUGCAUGAGCUACUUGGCG